UAACAAGGUUUCCGUAGGUGAACUGCGGAAGGAUCAUUACAGAGUUCAUGCCCGAAAGGGUAGACCUCCCACCCUUGUGUAUUAUUACUUUGUUGCUUUGGCGAGCUGCUCUUCGGGGCCUUGUAUGCUCGCCAGAGAAUAUCAAAACUCUUUUUAUUAAUGUCGUCUGAGUACUAUAUAAUAGUUAAAACUUUCAACAACGGAUCUCUUGGUUCUGGCAUCGAUGAAGAACGCAGCGAAAUGCGAUAAGUAAUGUGAAUUGCAGAAUUCAGUGAAUCAUCGAAUCUUUGAACGCACAUUGCGCCCCUUGGUAUUCCGGGGGGCAUGCCUGUUCGAGCGUCAUUUCAACCCUCAAGCUCAGCUUGGUAUUGAGUCCAUGUCAGUAAUGGCAGGCUCUAAAAUCAGUGGCGGCGCCCUGGGUCCUGAACGUAGUAAUAUCUCUCGUUACAGGUUCUCGGUGUGCUUCUGCCAAAACCCAAAUUUUCUAUGGUUGACCUCGGAUCAGGUAGGGAUACCCGCUGAACUUAAGCAUAU
This 534-nucleotide ribosomal RNA is filed under the name Sclerotinia sclerotiorum. RNAcentral's name for it is "eukaryotic LSU rRNA". The stretch from base 189 to 342 matches the Rfam family "5.8S ribosomal RNA". Lineage: Eukaryota; Fungi; Ascomycota; Leotiomycetes; Helotiales; Sclerotiniaceae. The record is from RNAcentral.